Molecule: long non-coding RNA, 656 nt
Organism: Ricinus communis (castor bean)
Lineage: Eukaryota; Viridiplantae; Streptophyta; Magnoliopsida; Malpighiales; Euphorbiaceae
Exons: 3
Source: RefSeq, a predicted model, not a curated record
UCAACCUUGCCCGUGUUCACCAACACGCCUAAGGACACGCCCGUGUUGGCUGGAUACAAAUGCGAAAGGCCUAGAAGCUUCGGGAAACACGGCCACAGUAGGUAACACGGCUAAUUAUCCCAGACCGUGUUCCCAACACGGCCAUGUUCCCAACACGGCCAGGAACACGGCCAUGUUGGCGGACAGGGGGAAAAAUGCUAUAAAUACCCCUUCUUUGUACCAUUUCGAAAAGAAGGAAGGAAGGGAGUGAAAAAGGGAGAGAAAAGAGAGAAAAAGGGCAGGAGAAAGUGAGUCCAUAAAAAGGAACAAGGGCAGUAAUAAAACAAGAGUGUGUGGGCACAAGGUGUGCCAAAAUGUAGCCAUAUAGCGGGAAAGAGUAUUACUCUACAUAGAGCAAAGAGAGAUGCUCUAUGUAGAGAUAGUUGUAGGAAUAGUUAUGUAAAAAAAAGGAAGGAAGAGAGUGAAAAAGGGAGAGAAAAGAGAGAAAAAGGGCAGGAGAAAGUGAGUCCAUAAAAGGGAACAAGGGCAGUAAUAAAACAAGAGUGUGUGGGCACAAGGUGUGCCAAAAUGUAGCCAUAUAGCGGGAAAGAGUAUUGCUCUACAUAGAGCAAAGAGAGAUGCUCUAUGUAGAGAUAGUUGUAGGAAUAGUUAUGUAA